This 426-nucleotide ribosomal RNA is filed under the name uncultured Megasphaera sp. RNAcentral describes it as "bacterial SSU rRNA". It matches the Rfam family "Bacterial small subunit ribosomal RNA", at positions 356 to 774 of the family's 1533-position model. The record is from RNAcentral. Lineage: Bacteria; Bacillati; Bacillota; Negativicutes; Veillonellales; Veillonellaceae.
GGGGAAUCUUCCGCAAUGGGCGAAAGCCUGACGGAGCAACGCCGCGUGAGCGAAGACGGCCUUCGGGUUGUAAAGCUCUGUUAUACGGGACGAACGGCUAGUGUGCCAAUACCACAUUAGAAUGACGGUACCGUAAGAGAAAGCCACGGCUAACUACGUGCCAGCAGCCGCGGUAAUACGUAGGUGGCAAGCGUUGUCCGGAAUUAUUGGGCGUAAAGGGCGCGCAGGCGGUUUCAUAAGUCUGUCUUAAAAGUGCGGGGCUUAACCCCGUGAGGGGACGGAAACUGUGAGACUGGAGUGUCGGAGAGGAAAGCGGAAUUCCUAGUGUAGCGGUGAAAUGCGUAGAUAUUAGGAGGAACACCAGUGGCGAAAGCGGCUUUCUGGACGACAACUGACGCUGAGGCGCGAAAGCCAGGGGAGCGAACG